GUGACUGAACAUCGAAACAAACUUCUUGACUUGACUCAGACUACUCGAGGCAGACUGUGUGACUAAAGAGUCGUGACCUGACUGGCUUAAUUCAUGGCGUUAUCUUAAAUGAAGCAUUUGCUGAGGUGGUUCCCCCAGGAAGUAGGUGCACCGUUGCACAAAAGCAUAUGCAGGCCCAAGAUUGCAUGCUGAUCGUGCCAGUGUGGCGUGGUUUUCCGCUGAAGCUGCUACACAACUGCAUUACUUUUGUAAGGAGGGUUGGACAAGAGAAAUAAGUCCUGUCAGCAGGAAUUGCUGGUGGUUUAAUCGAGGGAGCGUCUGAGUGGGACCAAUAAAAAGGAGGGAAACCUCCCUCACUGAGAGUUUUCACCUGUUGCUAGACAUGGCCAUGAGGUCCAGUUACACAACAGUUCGCUGUGGACCGACGACAGACAUCUCUACGAGCG
Long non-coding RNA from Pleuronectes platessa (European plaice), 446 nucleotides. RefSeq lists it as uncharacterized. NCBI's taxonomy places the organism in Eukaryota, Metazoa, Chordata, Actinopteri, Pleuronectiformes, Pleuronectidae. The record is from RefSeq and is a predicted model, not a curated record. The transcript is spliced from 3 exons.